RNAcentral lists this unclassified non-coding RNA (239 nucleotides) under Hevea brasiliensis (rubber tree). Lineage: Eukaryota; Viridiplantae; Streptophyta; Magnoliopsida; Malpighiales; Euphorbiaceae. The record is from RNAcentral.
GUUCAUCAUCACCUACGAUGAGCACGGUGGAUUCUUCGACCACGUUCCGACGCCGGUCACCGGUGUUCCUAGCCCCGACGGAAUCGUUGGACCGGAGCCGUUUCUGUUCGGUUUUGAUCGGCUCGGAGUUCGAGUUCCGACCAUCAUGAUCUCGCCUUGGAUAGAGAAGGGCACUGUUGUUCAUGGGCCUAAAGGAUCACCCUUUCAAACAUCAGAGUAUGAACACUCCUCCAUUCCUG